Molecule: non-coding RNA, 24 nt
Filed under: Cricetulus griseus (Chinese hamster)
Lineage: Eukaryota; Metazoa; Chordata; Mammalia; Rodentia; Cricetidae
Source: RNAcentral
GUGAGGUAAUCGAUCGGUGAGAGG